GACGAACGCUGGCGGCGUGCCUAAUACAUGCGAGUCGAACGCUGAAGGAGGAGCUUGCUUCUCUGGAUGAGUUGCGAACGGGUGAGUAACGCGUAGGUAACCUGCCUGGUAGCGGGGGAUAACUAUUGGAAACGAUAGCUAAUACCGCAUAAGAGUAGAUGUCGCAUGACAUUUGCUUAAAAGGUGCAAUUGCAUCACUACCAGAUGGACCUGCGUUGUAUUAGCUAGUUGGUGAGGUAACGGCUCACCAAGGCAACGAUACAUAGCCGACCUGGGAGGGGGAACGGCCAAACUGGGAAUGGGACACGGCCCAGACUCCUUAGGGAGGGCACAGUAGGGAAUCUUCGGCAAAGGACGGAAGUCUGACUGAGCAACGCCGCGUGAGGGAAGAAGGGUUUCGGAUCGGAAAGAUCUGUUGUAAGGGAAGAACGAGUGUGAGAGUGGAAAGUUCACACUGUGACGGUACCUUACCAGAAAGGGACGGCUAACUACGUG
Molecule: ribosomal RNA, 495 nt
Filed under: uncultured bacterium
Lineage: Bacteria
Description: partial 16S ribosomal RNA
Rfam family: Bacterial small subunit ribosomal RNA
Source: RNAcentral